Molecule: ribosomal RNA, 479 nt
Filed under: uncultured anaerobic ammonium-oxidizing bacterium
Lineage: Bacteria
Description: bacterial SSU rRNA
Rfam family: Bacterial small subunit ribosomal RNA
Source: RNAcentral
UUUCGCAAUGCCCGAAAGGGUGACGAAGCGACGCCGCGUGAGUGAGGAAGGCCUUCGGGUUGUAAAGCUCUGUCAGGAGUUAAGAAAUAUAAGUGUGUUAAUACCACAUUUAUUUGACGAAGGCUCCAAAGGAAGCCACGGCUAACUCUGUGCCAGCAGCCGCGGUAAUACAGAGGUGACAAGCGUUGUUCGGAAUUAUUGGGCGUAAAGAGCACGUAGGUGGGUUUGUAAGUCAGAUGUGAAAGCCUUCUGUUCAACGGAAGAAUUGCAUCUGAAACUGCGAGUCUUGAGUGUAGGAGGGGAGAAUGGAACUUCUGGUGGAGCGGUGAAAUGCGUAGAUAUCAGAAGGAACGCCGGCGGCGAAAGCGAUUCUCUGGCCUAUUACUGACACUCAGUGUGCGAAAGCUAGGGGAGCAAACGGGAUUAGAUACCCCGGUAGUCCUAGCUGUAAACGAUGGGCACUAAGUAGAGGGGUUUUA